RNAcentral lists this ribosomal RNA (389 nucleotides) under uncultured soil bacterium. RNAcentral describes it as "bacterial SSU rRNA". It matches the Rfam family "Bacterial small subunit ribosomal RNA", at positions 94 to 521 of the family's 1533-position model. The record is from RNAcentral.
AGUGGCGCACGGGUGAGUAACACGUAGCCAACCUACCCUGGAGUGGGGGAUAACCUGGGGAAACCCGGGCUAAUACCGCAUAACGUCCCCGCAAGCAAAGGCCCGCUCGAGGAGGGGGCUGCGGCCGAUUAGCUAGUUGGUGAGGUAACGGCCCACCAAGGCGAUGAUCGGUAGCCGGCCUGAGAGGGCGCACGGCCACACUGGCACUGAAACACGGGCCAGACUCCUACGGGAGGCAGCAGUGGGGAAUUUUGCACAAUGCCCGAAAGGGUGAUGCAGCAACGCCGCGUGAGGGAUGAAGGCCUUCGGGUCGUAAACCUCUUUCGACCGGGAAAAAUGAUGGUUACGGUGGAAGAAGCCCCGGCCAACUACGUGCCAGCAGCCGCGGU